AUCUUCCGCAAUGGACGAAAGUCUGACGGAGCAACGCCGCGUGAGUGAUGAAGGGUUUCGGCUCGUAAAACUCUGUUGUUAAGGAAGAAUACUUGAGGUAGUAACUGGCCUUGAGAUGACGGUACUUAACCAGAAAGCCACGGCUAACUACGUGCCAGCAGCCGCGGUAAUACGUAGGUGGCAAGCGUUAUCCGGAAUUAUUGGGCGUAAAGCGCGCGUAGGCGGUAAAAUAAGUCUGAUGUGAAAGCCCCCGGCUCAACCGGGGAGGGUCAUUGGAAACUGUUUUACUUGAGUACAGAAGAGGAGAGUGGAAUUCCAUGUGUAGCGGUGAAAUGCGCAGAGAUAUGGAGGAACACCAGUGGCGAAGGCGGCUCUCUGGUCUGUUACUGACGCUGAGGUGCGAAAGCGUGGGGAUCAAACA
RNAcentral lists this ribosomal RNA (421 nucleotides) under uncultured bacterium. RNAcentral describes it as "bacterial SSU rRNA". It matches the Rfam family "Bacterial small subunit ribosomal RNA", at positions 361 to 774 of the family's 1533-position model. The record is from RNAcentral.